GCCGGGCGUGGUGGCUCACGCCUGUAAUCCCAGCAUUUUGGGAGGCCGAGGCGGGUGGAUCACCUGAGGUUGGGAGUUCAAGACCAGCCUGACCAACAUGGAGAAACCCUGUCUCUA
This 117-nucleotide non-coding RNA is filed under the name Homo sapiens (human). Lineage: Eukaryota; Metazoa; Chordata; Mammalia; Primates; Hominidae. The record is from Rfam by way of RNAcentral.